ACAACAUUCCGAAAGGAAUGCUAAUACCGCAUACGCCCUACGGGGGAAAGCAGGGGAUCUUCGGACCUUGCGCUAAUAGAUGAGCCUAAGUCGGAUUAGCUAGUUGGUGGGGUAAAGGCCUACCAAGGCGACGAUCUGUAGCGGGUCUGAGAGGAUGAUCCGCCACACUGGGACUGAGACACGGCCCAGACUCCUACGGGAGGCAGCAGUGGGGAAUAUUGGACAAUGGGCGGAAGCCUGAUCCAGCCAUGCCGCGUGUGUGAAGAAGGCCUUUUGGUUGUAAAGCACUUUAAGCGAGGAGGAGGCUACUUAGAUUAAUACUCUAGGAUAGUGGACGUUACUCGCAGAAUAAGCACCGGCUAACUCUGUGCCAGCAGCCGCGGUAAUACAGAGGGUGCGAGCGUUAAUCGGAUUUACUGGGCGUAAAGCGUGCGUAGGCGGCUGAUUAAGUCGGAUGUGAAAUCCCUGAGCUUAACUUAGGAAUUGCAUUCGAUACUGGUCAGCUAGAGUAUGGGAGAGGAUGGUAGAAUUCCAGGUGUAGCGGUGAAAUGCGUAGAGAUCUGGAGGAAUACCGAUGGCGAAGGCAGCCAUCUGGCCUAAUACUGACGCUGAGGUACGAAAGCAUGGGGAGCAAACAGGAUUAGAUA
This 647-nucleotide ribosomal RNA is filed under the name Acinetobacter sp. RNAcentral's name for it is "bacterial SSU rRNA". It matches the Rfam family "Bacterial small subunit ribosomal RNA", at positions 143 to 784 of the family's 1533-position model. Lineage: Bacteria; Pseudomonadati; Pseudomonadota; Gammaproteobacteria; Moraxellales; Moraxellaceae. The record is from RNAcentral.